Molecule: long non-coding RNA, 1051 nt
Organism: Xenopus laevis (African clawed frog)
Lineage: Eukaryota; Metazoa; Chordata; Amphibia; Anura; Pipidae
Exons: 4
Source: RefSeq, a predicted model, not a curated record
AAUAGGAUGCCUAUUGGCUUGAUGGGAGUUGUAGUCUUUACGCUGUUACAUAAUAUUUACUCGAUUCCGCUGUCAUAGAGACACCGGCUGUCUAGUGGCGAGGAGCAUAGACGGAGGUGACUCAAGCAGGGCCGGAACAAAUGUUGGCAGAAAAGGCACGUGCCUAGGGCACACAGCUUCUUCUUUUGACUUCCUGAGAGAAUCUGGUGGCCACCGUAAUUCCCCACUCUCUACAUCAAUCAAAUCAGUUGGUUCCACCACAAUGGAUGGUAAUCUUCCCCUCAUCUUUACAGGAACUUCGUCCUCUUCACAAGGAUCUGGAAAAAUCUAAAAUGAAAGAGUAAAAGAAAAAUGUAAAAGUCAGACAGAAGGUGAAAAAGUGAAAAUAGGAAUGUUAAUAAGAAGUAGUUCAGUGGUGUAACUUCGGAUGCCUGGGCCUGGCUGAAAAGCGCUAGAGUUUUUGCCUUCCUCUGGAGUACCAUUAUCUGUGGUGGUCAACAGUACUUGCCUGGGUCAGCUGCAGCUGCGGCUCAAGGAAGGUCAAGUGUGCUUCAGUGCGGCUCUAGGAGUACGAGUUGGUCAUGGUGCAGGACUACCUUGAUGGAAUCGCAAGUGUGCAUCAGAUUUGGACUGUACGGUCUUGUCUGAGGCAUGCAAGAGACUGGAUUAGCGCCAUUUAUGCACAAUGAGGAAGCAGGGGGAUGGGCUAAAAAGCAUUCACGGAGGGUGCUCGGCCCCAAGAUCCCUGCUUCAUGUUCUUUGGGCAGUGAGCCCACGUUUUUUGAGAAUACAAUUUUUUGGGCAGUGAGCCCAUGUUUGGAGAAUAAGAGCCGCAGCUGGGGUCAGGGUGUAUCUAGUCCUUGAUGCUUAAACUGUUAAAUAAAGCCUGUGACCUCCACAGAUUUUUGCCAAAAUACGUCUCUGUGUUUUAAUUGAAUGGUAGGGUUACAUCCUGGGCCUAGUAUCACACCAGCUCAAAGCUGUUCUUCAUCCCUGAAAUUAAUAUCCCCUGUGUCAACAUUUUGUUUUAGUACCUGGAAAGGCAGACGGC